UGAGGAAUAUUGGUCAAUGGGCGCAAGCCUGAACCAGCCAUGCCGCGUGCGGGAAGAAGGCGCUACGCGUCGUAAACCGCUUUUGUCUGGGGGUAACCGCAGGGACGUGUCCCUGCCUGCAAGUACCAGACGAAUAAGGGUCGGCUAACUCCGUGCCAGCAGCCGCGGUAAUACGGAGGACCCGAGCGUUAUCCGGAUUCAUUGGGUUUAAAGGGUGCGUAGGCGGCCCGGUCAGUCAGCGGUGAAAUGCCUGCGCUUCACGCAGGAACUGCCGUUGAUACUGCCGGGCUAGAAUCUUAGCGAGGCGGGCGGAAUGCGCAGUGUAGCGGUGAAAUGCAUAGAUAUUGCGCAGAACGCCGAUUGGGGAGCCAGCUCGCCAGCUGAGUAUUGACGCUGAGGCACGAAAGCGUGGGGAUCAAACAGG
This 424-nucleotide ribosomal RNA is filed under the name uncultured bacterium. Its description in RNAcentral is "bacterial SSU rRNA". It matches the Rfam family "Bacterial small subunit ribosomal RNA", at positions 355 to 776 of the family's 1533-position model. The record is from RNAcentral.